AGGGGACAGUGGCGGUGAAAAGAGGAGGGCUGUAGGCUUUGGGACGGGGUUGGUCAGGAUUGGGAGGAAAAGAAACAUCCACACCUGGCUGUGGGCCAGACUGCUCAUUUCUGAUGCCCUCCCCUUUAAAACAGAGGCAGAAGCCCCUUGAUCUAGUAGAAGCAGCUCUUCAGGUAGAGAUGCCAUGCUUGGCAUCUAGAUCCUUAACCCCUUCCCAGCCAACACCAUCAAAGUAGGGGUCAGGAGUUGUCUCCAUCAGCUGGAGUCAAAUGAGGUAGACCAACUUAUCCCACCCUGCCUUCCCAUGCUGACAAGUGGGUGACUGGAGGCCAGCCCUUCCAGAACAGCAGAAGCAGCCAAGCCUGCUCUAAGAAAGCUGGCCUUCAGGCUAAAGAGCCAACUGCCUCCCCACUGCCCGUAUGGGUUUGUGUCAGUGACAACUCCAAGGGCAGAGGCUCCCCAGGUGCACAGGUUGAAGGGAGGUGCCACAUUCUCGGUUCCUGUUGGGAAGAGGACUGUAGUUCCCAAUUAUGAGCCAGAGCCUCACUAUUUCAUGGUUAAGACAGCUAGGAAUAAGACGAGGGGCGGGCCGGGGGAGUGGUUUGCAGACAGCACACCACACCCACAAGUGUGAAGGGGGAAGAGGAUACUUGGGGAAAAGACUCUGAGCCUGGCCUACUUUAAUAAGGAGAUUUUCUACUCCCCAGUGUAAAAUCACCACAGGCUCAUAUUUGACAGCCUUUGGCAAAUUCUCCAAAUACCCCAAACUGGGGCUGUUUCCAUGGGAACACUGGUCCCUAGCUCAAGGCAACUCAGCAAAGCUUUAGGAAGCAACUUCUCUACACAAGGCACAACAGAGGGCUCCCAAAUGGCUGAGAGCACUGCAGGAGGCAGGGGGAGGCCUAGCAGCAGAAACCCAGGACUCCCUGGGUAGGGGGCUCCCCCAGUGCUCCAGCUCAUUGCUCCAAGACCUUAAAGGACAGGGGUGUGCCACUCUUGGCAAAGGGCUUCAUCAAACUGCUGGGAUAGAUGCACCCCAACUUCUCUGGGGUUGGGAAGCCCCACACCCUAUAGAGGGACAGGCUUAGCCGGUCCCCAAUAUAGAAGGGACCCACCCAUUUGGCACUGCUGCCAUUCCUGGGGAGAGACAGCAGGAGGACCUGGUCACCCACGUUCCACUCCUUCUCCUGGCUCUCCUGCUUGAAGCGCCUGUUGUCAGCCUUCUCAGUGCCUUUUUCAGCCCCCUCCAGUGGAGCUCCAGCAGCUCCCCAAUCAGCUGCAGCAGGAAAACAUCCAUCUUGAGCCCUUCAAUGUUUGCACUGCUCAUCUCCCACCACAGGGGCUCAGUCAGCCUCCUCUCAGCCCCCGUCAGGACCUGGAAUGGCGUGGCCUCUGUGGAAGAGGCUCUGAAGGCCAGGUGCAACAGGGGCAGAGAGGCUGCCCACUUCCUGCCAUGCAGGAAGAUGAACUCCUUUAGGGCCCUCUUGAAUUCCCAGUAGGCCUCUGAGCUCACUAGGCAGGGGAACUGCAAGUCCCUACUCAGGGAGGUCACCUGGGCUCCCAGGGCCAAUCCACAGCUCACCAGGACAUGCCGAGCAAACUGGGGGCCCUGGGCCGCCUCCAGCCUCACAGGAACGCCCCACCGUGCAAACACAUGCUGAAGCAGCACCUGGGCCACCGCCAUGUGUGUGUAGGGUUUCAGCGGGAACGCCUCCACCCACCGGGUGUUGGGGUCAGCCACGAUGAGCACAUGCCUGUGGCCCUCCUCGCUUACGGUGAGCGGCCCCACCACCUCGAUCUGCAGGUUCGACCAAGGGGCAGUCGACCUGAGGGGCCAGGGGGACUCGAUGACCUUCAACUCACUGCCUGUGAGAUUCCGGGGGAUGCAAAACAGGCAGCUCCUGCAGUAAUCUUUCACAUGCUCCUGCAUCCCAGGCCACCAUCCCAGCAACUGCAAUUUUUUGUAAGUCUCCUCUGGCCGCUGGUGGGCCCCCAUGGGGAUGUCAUGCACAGAGAAAAUCAGAUCCCUCCGGAGCUGCCUUGGGACUACCCAGACCUUGGGCUUUUUAUCUCCCUUGAACAUAAGCAGCCCACUCUCCUUGUCAAGGCUGAGUGAGUGAAAGGCAGAACUGAAGGGGGAGGAGACAGACAAUUUCUGCCCAGCACGAAGUUUGGCAAUGAUAUCAGCCAGAGUGCUGUCACUCAGCUGCAAUGCCAACAAGUUGGGCCUCUUGCCCAUGGUAUGGGAAGUCACUACAGGGACCGGCACAUCCUUUGGCAAAUCCCACCACUGCCCACUUCCUUGGGCACCCUGCUUGGCCAGGUUAUCCACUGUCACAGCAAACAGAGAGCUCCGGUAGGAGGUUCGGUAGAUGAAUGGAAGAGAUGAAAGGCCAGAGGUGAGGGAUAUAAUGUAGGAGAGCAGGCUUGGGUGAGGUAGUGCAGCCCCAUCAGAGGAGAGGAAGCCCCGGGCCCUCCAGAGGGGCAGGAGCUCCCAGAGGAGGCUGAAGAUCCAGUUGCAGUGGGUGAGGAAAACCACAGGGAGGUGGGACUGGCCACAUCGCUCCAGGCCACAGGCCACGGCUGCCAGGUGGGCAUAGGUCGGGGUGUAAGGGGAGCAGGAAAAGGAAAGGGAGACCGGGGGACUGGUGGGAGACAGGACAUAGAGGCCAAAACCAGCACACCACUCAUCCUCGCGGUAAAAGCAGUAGCCCGACAUGUGGAUGCAGACAAAAGUGGACAGGUCAGAAAAAGGAGGCAGAACCUGGAAGAAACGAGGCAUGGAGGAAACAGGUGUCAACAGUCGGUUUUCCCCCAGCAGGCCCUGGAGAAGGGCCAAUUCCAGGGCCCUCUUGCCUCUGUCCUGUACCAAAAGGGACCAUCGAAUCAACCAUGCUUUGGAGACCCGGCAGCACUCUGGUGCCUCAGGAGCCACAGUGGUCCGGGAGGCGUAGACAAGGUGGAGGACCACUGGGUCAUCUCCAAUACAGUGGGAAAAAUGCUUGAGGGCCCAGGCCACGGCAUAGGGGCUGUCCCCGCCUGACUGGGGGCCCUCACUGUCCUCAUCCGGGAGUAGGGGCUUCGAGGUAGGUAGGCGAUGGGGUGCUUCUUCCCUGAGUGCUCCUGGUAGAGGAUGGCUGUCAGGGCCACCUGGCUCACUGUCACCUGCAGGCGGAAGGGGAGCUGGCAAUUGGGGGGCUGACAGACAGAGGGCAGACACCAGGGCUCGCUUCAGGGCCAGGAAGGCCUUCUCAUGCUCCUGGUCCCACACCCAGUCUGGCUUCUGCUUGAGGAGGCUGUGCAAAGGGCCCAUGAGGGCUUCGUAGUCAGGGAUGACAUCCCGGUGGGAGUCCAUGAACCCCACAAAGAAAGACAGCACGGUGAAGUUGCUGGGGGUGGUGAGCUGGGCCAGCUGGGCAAGAACCUGCUGGCAGGGAGCCUUCCCAUCCCAGGGGAUCCCUAGGUACGAAGAGGCCACCCCAGGAAGGAGGUCAAUGUCCAGGGCUCCAUCAGGGGGUCGUGGAGGCUGAGGCAUUGGAGAAUUUCCUCUGAAAGGGAGGGGCACUCAACUCUGAACACUGAGGCCAGGAAAGAGUCCAGGUCAUCCUCCUCAGCCCACCCUGGCAUUCCCUGCCCCUCUCUCCACUCCUCAUCUUGCCUCUCCUCCUUCUCCUCUCUGACUUCUUCCACAUUCUGUGGACCCUCCAAGGGCCUAGGAUCAGUGUCAUCCCUGAGUUGAGAGAUGCUGGCUGAGCUGGGUGGAAGGGUCUUCCACACCUUCAAGAAGUUGCCAAUGUCUGUGUCCAACCUACAAAACAGGUGGAAGAGGGAGAGGGGACAACCCCACCCCCAGAUGUCAUCCAAGGGAAAAGAUAUACCCGUGGAUGCCCCACAGAGCCCUGCCCCAUUCCUAAAUGUCUCCAAGGCUGGGCUGAGUGCCAGUCCCCUACUUGUAUAGCAAGGGCUCCAUCAGGCCCUUACCUGUGAAUUCUUGCUCUAUCUCUGCAUCUGCCAGAACUUCAACAGAAAAGCAAAACUGCAUUGAGCAAGAUGCGUUUACCCUAAUUUUAAGCCAGUGGUUUGAUAAGAGGUGACUGGCAGCUCACAACCUAACCCCAGAACAAGCGCUUCAUGGGGAGAGCAACACGGGAGGAGAGCCCCACGCACAAGAGGCAGACCUCAGGCUCAUUUCCAAACUGGAGAAGUGAGGCUGAGGGCCAGGCCUGGGGAGAAGCACCCUGUCCAGAGGAUCCCAACCAAGGCCUGCUGCUGGGCCCAGGGUACUUCAAAGUGGGCAGCAAAGUAGUUGGGAGGGAUGGAGGCCAGAGAAUCAGUGACUGCAAAGCUAUUCUCCUAACACCAGCAAAGUAACCUUGGAAAAAUCACUUGAGUUUCAGAUUCCUCAUCCAUAAAUUACAGUAGUCAUUGACAUCUAACCGAACUUCACUGCUGCAUUGGCACCAAGAGCAUAACUUAGAAAAGGUCAGCCAGGCAUGGUGACCCAGCAUUUGUGAGGUUGAGGGAGGAGUUCAAGGCCAGCCUGGGCUACAUAGUGAGUUCGAAGCCAGCUUGAACUACAUAGCAAGACCCUGUCUCAGAAAAAUAGUAAAAAGGCCUUCAACUAGAAAACAGAUAAGUCUGCUACAUGGGUACUUAUGUAGCAGAAUACUACAUGGCCAUUAAUGUAUACUAUAUACAUUAGCAUGGCAUACAUCUGAAAAAGAAAUAGUAAAACAUUGAACACAAAUGCCAAUUCUGGAAGGAUAGAUACAGCAUUAAAGCAUGUGUGAAGUGUUAAAACCAUACUACAAGGGGUGUAUGGAUGCCUCAAUAGAUGACCAAAGUGUAUUGACAUGAAAAAGUCCAGUCACUCUUUUCUGUUCAUGAUUAAGCAGCAGACAAUAUUGGCUAGCACUAAAGGGAGUUCUGGUUACUCUCAGGAGGGCCUCAUAUAUUACCUGUUUGGCUUCUUCAGAAACUCAUCCAAGGUGGGGCCAUCACGGCCCAGGGGGUCAUCUGGCACCAUGAAGAGAUUCCCCGCAAAGGUGAAGGGCAGCAGGCUGGGCCCGGAAGACAAAGGGGCAUAGUCUUAGAUGAGCCCUGACUUUCCCAUGCCCUGCUACUGCCUGGCUGUUACCCCACCUUCCAGAAGGUGCUAGUGAGCCCUACCCCAGGGCCCCUCUCCCUGCCCCAUCAUCUGCUUGCCAGGCACUGCCUGACAUCAAAGGAACAAAGUGGCUCCCACCCCUAAAGGCUGUCUCACCGAUCUUUGACCAUGAGUUUCUUAGAAUUAUUCAUCAGGGUGUGAAUCUGCUCAUUGGUAACAAUGACGCCAUCUGUCUCUUCUGCCAGCUUUACCAUGAACCUGAAGGGAAAAGAGGAGUCACUGAUGACCCAGGGACCAGCCCCAUCACUUCCUGGGUCCCCUGAGAAAAUGAACUUGCAGCUUCACAGAGAGGUGUGCCAGACAAAAACACUGCCCCGCACAGUCAGGGAUUCAGGGCUCUGGAGUAUACCCCCUCCUCUGCAGCCAUCUGGGAUCCCCAGCAGCCCUCUAGGAGGACACACACACCUCAACUGUACAUACAAACCCUAUCACACACCCCUAUUAGAUACACAAACACACACAGAUACCGAAACCCGUCCACUUCACACAUGUGUAUUUACUGCUUGUUUUUGCAUUUGUAAAAUGGAGAUAAAAUCCCUACCCCAUAUUGCUGUAAAAUUAAGUUGGAUGACAUAAUGCAUUUAAAGUGUCUAGCUCAAUGCCUGUGACACAGGAUAUGCACAAAUAUUCCAAUAUUCUUCAUUAAUACACAACAUUAAUAUGCAUGCCAAGAAAUAAUACAAACAUAUUAACGCACAUAAAAACACAAACCUGAAUUUUAAAAAUCUAUUUUUCCAAGAAUCACCUCUCCUCUAAGGAGUGCUGUGACCAAGAAAGAAAGCAAAGGCUACCUACUUCGCAUUAUCAUUCGGGCUACACCAAGCAUGCUAUUCCAAAAAUGCCCAGCAGGGGGGCCUUCUGUAGAAAAGACAUCCUCCCUUAAACCCAGGCCUGAAUUGACAGCCUCUUAGAGGUCUUACCCAGGGGAUAACUGGGAAGGAGGGACCUUGAGAAGCCCUGCCCAGCUUUCCCAGGCUAGAGAGUUGAAUGGAUGUCCCGUCUUUGGAAAAGUAGGAAAAAACGGAACUUUUCCCUGCCCAGCACAGGAGGUACCCAGUGAAGUCAAGACCUCUGUCUGCCCCACAUCAACUCCAGCCCAGAACCAGUGACUUUGGCAGGGCCUUUCCACCCCAACAGAGGCAGGGGCACAGGCUUCCCUGGGCAAGCUGGUCCUGCAGCCUCACCGAAGAGUUGAUCCCUAAGAGCGACAGGUACAGAGGCAUUCAGGAUUCAGGCAGAUGCAGCCAGUCUAUCUCCACUUCCAGAGCCUUGCCCAAGGCAUUUGCUCUACACACACCUCCUCUGGUACCAGGACUUGGAGGGAAAAAAAGGCUGAAGCAGUCCCUUGAACUUCACCCUAAACUGAUACCCAAAAGCCUAAGGUACCUCCGAUGCUCACUGGAAGCAGGUGGAAUUACCUGGCCUGUCUGAUCCACAGUGGUGCAUGUUGGACCACACAGUCCAUGGUGAAGAAAGCCAGUUAACUCAGGGAAAUAGAGCACCAGAGUCCCAAAGUCAGGAGCAACCCUUGAGCUUGGGUAGAACCAACCUCAAGGCCUCCUCUUCACUUGCCCCUCACCCCAUCCUCUCAGACAUUAUCCCCCUGACAUAUCUGCCACCAUUUCCACAGAGAAGAUGUGGCCGGGCUACCUGAUACUCCAUCCAAGCCCAAACAUGCCCCACAGAGAACCCACGGAGCGGCGCACCUAUAGUCAUAGGUGGCGAUCUUCUUGCCGUUCUCCAGCUGGGAGGGGGUGAUUGAAAGCAUCUUGAGCGAGUGAAGCUUCGUCAGAAAGUGGCUUUCUGGGGGAGAAAGGCAGAAAACAAAAAUGGUCAGAGGAAGGGGCUAAAUGGGAAAGGCCAUGGUGGAGUAGUGGAAGGUGGAGCAGAAAGGUGAGGGAAACCAUCACCCUCCGGUGAUGCCGGAGGGGCAGAGUGCACAGUGCACAUCUCACCUCUCACCCUUCGGUUCUUCUUCAGCUGCCAGGUGGGUACAAACACAGUGACCUCUCGGUGUCCCCCGGUUCCAGAAAUACUGCACUGCCAUGGCAAUGCCCUCGGCAGGAGAAGAAAUGCUGGAGGCCAUGCCUGUGGGGUGGUCAGAAGUGAAGGAGCAGCUUCCCCAAAACAAGAGGAAGGACUGCCUCACAACUCCCCCACUCAGAGCCACCCAGGGCAGCAAGCAGGCAAUGCCAGGGAAAGAGCAUCAGCACCAAAGACACCACAGUGCCCUCCUCCCUGCCCUCCAUCCUCAAACAUUCUGUGAGCAGCUGCUGGUACAGAGCAAUUCCAGAUGCUGCCUGUGUGCAUGUGUGUGUGCACACAUAUGUAUAUGGACACUGAGGACGAGAGGAAGAAGGUAGCCCCAUACUCAAAAGAGCUCUAUUUUAGAGCUUAAAGCAAACAAAAACUCCCUGCUUGCCUAUUGUGUGCUGAGAAUGUGCUCAUCAUGAAUGACUAUGCUGCCAUGUGGCAAAUUAAGCAGCCUAGCAUGUAUUUAUCCUAAGACCUCUACAGCAGUAAACACUGCACAGGGAGGGAAAUAUCAAAGGGUUGGCCAGGUCAGGAAAAGUUUCAGAGUAAAUCUGUGCUGGGCCUUGCUGUUUAGGCUAAAUGUUUAAAAGCCAGCCUGGGAGGAGCAUGGGCCUUGGCAGUAGACAGACCUGAACCCAGAGGCUAGCCCAGCCCCUGACCAACUCAGGGACCUUGGGCGAGAUUCCUCACCUCCAAGCUUGUGUCUGCCUCUACCAAAGGGGAUGAACAGAAACCUUCCAUUCUGGGGGCUGCUGGGACAAUUUGGUGCACACUGCUUAGCAUUAGUGGCCACUCAAUGUGCUUGUGCCAUUUCCCUUCCAUCCUUUCCCCAUUUGAACCUUAUGCCUUUUAUAUGGGUCAAGACAAGAUGCCCACAAUCCACUGCCUGUGAAUUUCCUGCCCCAGCUUCUAGCAUCCCCAGCCCAGCCCUCACCCGUGGCUACUCA
This 8148-nucleotide long non-coding RNA is filed under the name Heterocephalus glaber (naked mole-rat). Its description in RNAcentral is "lncRNA (ENSHGLG00100042971.1)". Lineage: Eukaryota; Metazoa; Chordata; Mammalia; Rodentia; Bathyergidae. The record is from RNAcentral.